Molecule: ribosomal RNA, 615 nt
Filed under: Prospodium transformans
Lineage: Eukaryota; Fungi; Basidiomycota; Pucciniomycetes; Pucciniales; Raveneliaceae
Description: partial large subunit ribosomal RNA
Rfam family: Eukaryotic large subunit ribosomal RNA
Source: RNAcentral
UUCCCUCAGUAACGGCGAGUGAAGAGGGAACUUGCCCAAAUUUGAAAUCUGGCUUCCUUCUGGGGGUCCGAGUUGUAAAUUUGAGAACUGUUUUUCAGUGCUGGUCCAUGCAUAAGUCUGUUGGAAAACAGCAUCAUUGAGGGUGAAAAUCCCGUCUUUGGUAUGGUUCAACCAGUGCAAUAUGAUACAGUUUCUAAGAGUCGAGUUGUUUGGGAAUGCAGCUCAAAAAGGGUGGUAAAUUCCAUCUAAGGCUAAAUAUCCGUGAGAGACCGAUAGCAAACAAGUACCGUGAGGGAAAGAUGAAAAGAACUUUGGAAAGAGAGUUAACAGUACGUGAAAUUGUUCAAAGGGAAACAAUUGAAGUUACACUUGUUAUUGUUGGUUCAGCUCAUUUCUGGGUGUAUUCCAAUAAUUAACAGACCAACAUCAAUCUUUGGGUGUUGGAUAAGGGUUUGGGGGAUGUAACAGUCUCUGGCUGUGUUAUAAUCCUGGACUUUGAUACAAUGCUUAGGAUUGAGGAAUGCAGUAAGCCAAGUAAUAUUGGUGGGCCGUCACACACCUUUUUUGGGGUGUGCAAGGGUCUUCUUACUGAGGAUGUUGGUAUGAUAGCUUUAA